AAGUAUUAACGUGUAUUUCCUAGACCGAGAGGUCCGGGUAGACCUCUGAACCACUUUCAUGCUUGGUAUUGUGAACUGAAACUUUUCACAUGAAC
Molecule: ribosomal RNA, 95 nt
Filed under: Glossina austeni
Lineage: Eukaryota; Metazoa; Arthropoda; Insecta; Diptera; Glossinidae
Description: eukaryotic small subunit ribosomal RNA
Source: RNAcentral